CUGAAUAUUAAUCGAUAUUCUGUUGUACAGUUUCUUUUACAAAUCAAUGGUACGUUUUCAUUAUGCUCCUGCUGUUAGGACACAGAUAAGGAGAUGACUGGUUAAAGCAUACAGAUGCUUGCAACGCACUCUUAACCUCUGUGCAACAUGACACUAUUCUGUGGUCUACAGAUGAAGCAUAUUUUCACGUCUCCGGAUCAGUAAAUACAGGAAGUGCAGAUCCAGUCGACCAUACAGUAGUAAGCCAUUCCUUAAUGGCGUCGCAUAGGUUCAUCAGAAAGCCAGUCAUGAUGAUUCAAACCAAACCACCUAAAAGAGGUUUAAAAGUUGAAUUUUUCAGCGUUUUGCUUCCACGCUCAUAUCUUGAAAACAAUGCAUUCAACCGACAUAGCUAACAAUUCAAAAAUGAAGCUUAAUACAUUCU
Molecule: unclassified non-coding RNA, 424 nt
Filed under: Nilaparvata lugens (brown planthopper)
Lineage: Eukaryota; Metazoa; Arthropoda; Insecta; Hemiptera; Delphacidae
Description: uncharacterized LOC120350511, transcript variant X2
Source: RNAcentral